This 373-nucleotide ribosomal RNA is filed under the name uncultured organism. RNAcentral describes it as "bacterial SSU rRNA". It matches the Rfam family "Bacterial small subunit ribosomal RNA", at positions 526 to 896 of the family's 1533-position model. The record is from RNAcentral.
CGUAGGGCGCAAGCGUUGUCCGGAUUUAUUGGGCGUAAAGAGCUCGUAGGCGGUUUGUCGCGUCUUCCGUGAAAACUGGGGGCUUAACUUCCAGCUUGCGGUGGAUACGGGCUGACUGGAGUGCGGCAGGGGAGACUGGAAUUCCUGGUGUAGCGGUGAAAUGCGCAGAUAUCAGGAGGAACACCGGUGGCGAAGGCGGGUCUCUGGGCCGUUACUGACGCUGAGGAGCGAAAGCGUGGGGAGCGAACAGGAUUAGAUACCCUGGUAGUCCACGCUGUAAACGUUGGGCGCUAGGUGUGGGGGGCUUUCCACGUCCUCCGUGCCGUAGCUAACGCAUUAAGCGCCCCGCCUGGGGAGUACGGCCGCAAGGCUA